Molecule: long non-coding RNA, 204 nt
Filed under: Elaeis guineensis (African oil palm)
Lineage: Eukaryota; Viridiplantae; Streptophyta; Magnoliopsida; Arecales; Arecaceae
Description: long non-coding RNA (EGUI_LNC081819)
Source: RNAcentral
GGUGGAGGGUGCUAUUCUCCCUACGUCACAGGAGCAGUGGCUUAUUAGUCCAAAAGAAGCAUCCCCGAACCUAAAAAUAUGAUAUGCAACCUAUGCGUAGAUGAGGACUGAACUUGAGGAGGUUAAGAAAAGGCUUGUCAUAGCUAAGAACCUUCUAAAUUCAUUGCUCAAAUAGGGGGACAUUGCAAAUAAAGAAAAGGACGA